Molecule: long non-coding RNA, 765 nt
Organism: Neltuma alba
Lineage: Eukaryota; Viridiplantae; Streptophyta; Magnoliopsida; Fabales; Fabaceae
Exons: 3
Source: RefSeq, a predicted model, not a curated record
GAAGGUUCAAGUAUUUUGAAUUCUAGAAUUGAGAAUCAUAGUUCACUUCCAGUAGAAACUAUGGAGCAUUUCGCAGGUCAAUCAAAUUAUACUGAAUGUGAUAUUCGUGUUGCACUGGUUUUAAGUGCAACGUUCUUGUUGGUGGCACAGCAAAUACCAACUUAUUUAAUGAAUCAUUGUGGCAAAGGCCCAUAGUUGUUGCAGUUAUACACUAUUCCAACAAUCUGUCCUAUCCCUGAUCCACCCAGUGAUUUUUAUGUCGAGGAGGCAUCAGUGAAGCAAGCAAGAAAUGGCAGGUGUCAUUUGGGUCGUAACACUUCUGUUUCUGAGAACAACUGUUAUGUGGCCAUGCAAAAUCUUCAACCAGCAACCAUUGUGGGAUUUGAGUUCUGUUUUGUUCUGUGAGCAUGGAACCUAAAGAGCAGAAGACAUGUAUUGGUGGCGUACUAUCUCAGUCUCUCAGACAAAGAUAGAUAUCGAAGUCUCUUCAGAAGUGUCCAAUCUUUCCAACCCAUCACUUGAUUAAUUGUUUGUUGUCAAGUUGUUUAUUCGAAUUAUAACAUAUUUUGACAGCAAGUCUUUGUCUUUUAAUGAUUGUUUUAUGAAUUUUACCUGCAGGUAGCAGAAUCGGUCCUCUGCGGUCGUUUUUAUACUUCCAUUUUCACAUCUAGCUAAUAGCUUCCUUGCUAUGCCUGAGAGUUUAGCAUCUAUCUUCUGAUGUAUUGGGGUUUCGGACAUCUGUAGGAUAGGGAAACUUGAAAUGCA